RNAcentral lists this unclassified non-coding RNA (25 nucleotides) under Mus musculus (house mouse). RNAcentral's name for it is "oocyte_clustered_small_RNA3356". The record is from RNAcentral. Lineage: Eukaryota; Metazoa; Chordata; Mammalia; Rodentia; Muridae.
UACUCAGGAGCAAGAGAGGAAGAGA